Molecule: ribosomal RNA, 447 nt
Filed under: uncultured bacterium
Lineage: Bacteria
Description: bacterial SSU rRNA
Rfam family: Bacterial small subunit ribosomal RNA
Source: RNAcentral
GGCCCAGACUCCUACGGGAGGCAGCAGUGGGGAAUAUUGCACAAUGGGGGAAACCCUGAUGCAGCGACGCCGCGUGAGUGAAGAAGUCUUUCGGUAUGUAAAGCUCUAUCAGCAGGGAAGAAAAUGACGGUACCUGAUUAAGAAGCCCCGGCUAACUACGUGCCAGCAGCCGCGGUAAUACGUAGGGGGCAAGCGUUAUCCGGAUUUACUGGGUGUAAAGGGAGCGCAGGCGGCGUGACAAGUCAGAUGUGAAAACCCGGGGCCCAACCCCGGGAGUGCAUUUGAAACUGCCAUGCUGGAGUGCCGGAGAGGUAAGCGGAAUUCCUAGUGUAGCGGUGAAAUGCGUAGAUAUUAGGAGGAACACCAGUGGCGGAGGCGGCUUACUGGACGGUAACUGACGCUGAGGCUCGAAAGCGUGGGGAGCAAACAGGAUUAGAUACCCUUGUA